This 87-nucleotide small nucleolar RNA is filed under the name Tetrapisispora phaffii CBS 4417. The record is from RNAcentral. Lineage: Eukaryota; Fungi; Ascomycota; Saccharomycetes; Saccharomycetales; Saccharomycetaceae.
UUUAAUGAUGAAGCUACUGUAUCCCAUAUACAUAUCGACUAGCCAACUGGCAAUGUUGUCGUUAAUUACACCAUCUUUCGGCUGACA